GGGAGCGAACAGGAUUAGAUACCCUGGUAGUCCACGCCGUAAACGAUGAUUACUCGGUAUUGGCUUCGGUCAGUGCCCAAGCGAAAGUGAUAAGUAAUCCACCUGGGGAGUACGCCCGCAAGGGUGAAACUCAAAGGAAUUGACGGGGGCCCGCACAAGCGGUGGAGCAUGUGGUUUAAUUCGAUGAUACGCGAGGAACCUUACCAGGGUUUAAAUGCAGAACGACAGGGGUGGAAACACCCCCUUCUUCGGACGGACUGCAAGGUGCUGCAUGGUUGUCGUCAGCUCGUGCUGUGAAGUGUCGGGUUAAGUCCCAUAACGAGCGCAACCCCCAUUUCUAGUUGCCAGCGGUUCGGCCGGGGACUCUAGAGAAACUGCCAGCGUAAGCUGUGAGGAAGGUGGGGAUGACGUCAAAUCAUCACGGCCCUUACAUCCUGGGCCACACACGUGCUACAAUGGUGGGGACAACAGGUUGCCAACCCGCGAGGGUGAGCCAAUCCCAAAACCCCAUCUCAGUUCGGAUCGGAGUCUGCAACUCGACUCCGUGAAGUUGGAAUCGCUAGUAAUCGCGGAUCAGCCAUGCCGCGGUGAAUACGUUCCCGGGCCUUGUACACAC
RNAcentral lists this ribosomal RNA (616 nucleotides) under uncultured marine bacterium. Its description in RNAcentral is "bacterial SSU rRNA". It matches the Rfam family "Bacterial small subunit ribosomal RNA", at positions 764 to 1390 of the family's 1533-position model. The record is from RNAcentral.